CGUAGGAGGCGAGCGUUAUCCGGAGUUACUGGGCGUAAAGCGCGUGUAGGUGGCUUGUUACGUCUGCUGUGAAAGCUCCCGGCUUAACCGGGACUAGGCGGUAGAUACGGGCAAGCUCGAGGGUGACAGAGGAGCGUAGAAUUCCGGGUGUAGUGGUGAAAUGCGUAGGGAUCCGGAGGAAUACCAGUGGCGCAAGCGGCGCUCUGGGUCGAGCCUGACACUGAGACGCGAAGGCAUGGGGAGCGAACGGGAUUAGAAACCCCGGUAGUCCAUGCAGUAAACGAUGCAGACUGGGUGUGGGCGACGCAAGUCGUCUGUGCCGAAGCCAACGCGCUAAGUCUGCCGCCUGGGAAGUACGGUCGCAAGACUA
RNAcentral lists this ribosomal RNA (370 nucleotides) under uncultured organism. Its description in RNAcentral is "bacterial SSU rRNA". It matches the Rfam family "Bacterial small subunit ribosomal RNA", at positions 526 to 896 of the family's 1533-position model. The record is from RNAcentral.